AGAGUUUGAUCAUGGCUCAGAUUGAACGCUGGCGGCAGGCCUAACACAUGCAAGUCGAACGGUAACAGAACUAGCUUGCUAGUUGCUGACGAGUGGCGGACGGGUGAGUAAUGCUUGGGAAUUUGCCUUUGGGAGGGGGAUAACCACUGGAAACGGUGGCUAAUACCGCAUAACGUCUACGGACCAAAGGGGGCUUAGGCUCCCACCUAUAGAGAAGCCCAAGUGAGAUUAGCUAGUUGGUGAGGUAAAGGCUCACCAAGGCGACGAUCUCUAGCUGUUCUGAGAGGAAGAUCAGCCACACUGGAACUGAGACACGGUCCAGACUCCUACGGGAGGCAGCAGUGGGGAAUAUUGCGCAAUGGGGGAAACCCUGAUGCAGCCAUGCCGCGUGUGUGAAGAAGGCCUUCGGGUUGUAAAGCACUUUCAGUUGUGAGGAAAGGUUAGUAGUUAAUACCUGCUAGCUGUGACGUUAGCAACAGAAGAAGCACCGGCUAACUCCGUGCCAGCAGCCGCGGUAAUACGGAGGGUGCAAGCGUUAAUCGGAAUUACUGGGCGUAAAGCGCACGCAGGCGGUUUGUUAAGCUAGAUGUGAAAGCCCCGGGCUCAACCUGGGAUGGUCAUUUAGAACUGGCAGACUAGAGUUUUGGAGAGGGGAGUGGAAUUCCAGGUGUAGCGGUGAAAUGCGUAGAGAUCUGGAGGAACAUCAAUGGCGAAGGCAACUCCCUGGCCAAAGACUGACGCUCAUGUGCGAAAGUGUGGGUAGCGAACAGGAUUAGAUACCCUGGUAGUCCACACCGUAAACGCUGUCUACUAGCUGUUUGUGGACUUAAUCCGUGAGUAGCGAAGCUAACGCGAUAAGUAGACCGCCUGGGGAGUACGGCCGCAAGGUUAAAACUCAAAUGAAUUGACGGGGGCCCGCACAAGCGGUGGAGCAUGUGGUUUAAUUCGAUGCAACGCGAAGAACCUUACCUACUCUUGACAUACUAGAAACUUUUCAGAGAUGAAUUGGUGCCUUCGGGAAUCUAGAUACAGGUGCUGCAUGGCUGUCGUCAGCUCGUGUCGUGAGAUGUUGGGUUAAGUCCCGCAACGAGCGCAACCCUUGUCCUUAGUUACCAGUAUUAAGUUGGGUACUUUAAGGAGACUGCCGGUGACAAACCGGAGGAAGGUGGGGACGACGUCAAGUCAUCAUGGCCCUUACGAGUAGGGCUACACACGUGCUACAAUGGCGAGUACAAAGGGAUGCAAACUGGUGACAGUAAGCGGACCCCUUAAAGCUCGUCGUAGUCCGGAUUGGAGUCUGCAACUCGACUCCAUGAAGUCGGAAUCGCUAGUAAUCGUAGGUCAGCAUACUACGGUGAAUACGUUCCCGGGCCUUGUACACACCGCCCGUCACACCAUGGGAGUGGGAUGCAAAAGAAGUAGGUAGCUUAACCUUCGGGAUGGCGCUUACCACUUUGUGUUUCAUGACUGGGGUGAAGUCGUAACAAAGGUAACC
RNAcentral lists this ribosomal RNA (1495 nucleotides) under uncultured bacterium. Its description in RNAcentral is "bacterial SSU rRNA". It matches the Rfam family "Bacterial small subunit ribosomal RNA". The record is from RNAcentral.